AUGAACGCUGGCGGCGUGCCUAAUACAUGCAAGUCGAGCGAACGGACGAGAAGCUUGCUUCUCUGAUGUUAGCGGCGGACGGGUGAGUAACACGUGGAUAACCUACCUAUAAGACUGGGAUAACUUCGGGAAACCGUAGCUAAUACCGGAUAAUAUUUUGAACCGCAUGGUUCAAAAGUGAAAGACGGUCUUGCUGUCACUUAUAGAUGGAUCCGCGCUGCAUUAGCUAGUUGGUAAGGUAACGGCUUACCAAGGCAACGAUGCAUAGCCGACCUGAGAGGGGGAUCGGACACACUGGAACUGAGACACGGACCAGACUCCUACGGGAGGCAGCAGUAGGGAAUCUUCCGCAAUGGGCGAAAGCCUGACGGAGCAACGCCGCGUGAGUGAUGAAGGUCUUCGGAUCGUAAAACUCUGUUAUUAGGGAAGAACAUAUGUGUAAGUAACUGUGCACAUCUUGACGGUACCUAAUCAGAAAGCCACGGCUAACUACGUG
RNAcentral lists this ribosomal RNA (496 nucleotides) under uncultured bacterium. Its description in RNAcentral is "partial 16S ribosomal RNA". It matches the Rfam family "Bacterial small subunit ribosomal RNA", at positions 29 to 507 of the family's 1533-position model. The record is from RNAcentral.